UACGUAGGGUGCGAGCGUUAAUCGGAAUUACUGGGCGUAAAGCGUGCGUAGGCGGUUUCAUAAGCUUGAUGUGAAAGCCCCGGGCUCAACCUGGGAAUGGCAUUGAGGACUGUGGAGCUAGAGUGCGGCAGAGGGAGGUGGAAUUCCACGUGUAGCAGUGAAAUGCGUAGAGAUGUGGAGGAACACCGAUGGCGAAGGCAGCCUCCUGGGCCGACACUGGCGCUGAGGGCACGAAAGCGUGGGGAGCAAACAGG
RNAcentral lists this ribosomal RNA (254 nucleotides) under uncultured bacterium. Its description in RNAcentral is "partial 16S ribosomal RNA". It matches the Rfam family "Bacterial small subunit ribosomal RNA", at positions 524 to 776 of the family's 1533-position model. The record is from RNAcentral.